This 64-nucleotide small nucleolar RNA is filed under the name Euglena gracilis. RNAcentral's name for it is "Eg-m27.2". The record is from RNAcentral. Lineage: Eukaryota; Euglenozoa; Euglenophyceae; Euglenales; Euglenaceae.
GGAUGCUUGCUGCAAAAUGUUUCAGCCACUGACACCCCAUGAGUGAUACCGUCUAGCACUGAUG